GUUAGCGAGAGCCACAAAAAAGAGAAUUCCAAUAUAUGUUUUCUGCUUUAGAUGCGCAUCCUCUACCUAUUAAGUGUUAAUUAAAUUAAAGGGUUUCUUUUUAAAAUCUUCUAUAACUAAUAAAAAAAUAGGGAAGUUUUGUUAACUUGGGGAA
RNAcentral lists this ribosomal RNA (154 nucleotides) under Plasmodium knowlesi. RNAcentral's name for it is "partial 18S ribosomal RNA". Lineage: Eukaryota; Apicomplexa; Aconoidasida; Haemosporida; Plasmodiidae. The record is from RNAcentral.